UACGUAGGGUCCUAGCGUUGUCCGGAAUUAUUGGGCGUAAAGAGCUCGUAGGCGGCGUGUCGCGUCGGAUGUGAAAGCCCGGGGCUUAACUCCGGGUCUGCAUUCGGUACGGGCAUGCUGGAGUUCGGUAGGGGAGACUGGAAUUCCGUGGUGUAGCGGUGAAAUGCGCAGAUAUCAGGAGGAACACCAAUUGCGAAGGCAGCUCGCUGGGACGUCACUGACGCUGAGACGCGAAAGCGUGGGGAGCAAACAGG
Molecule: ribosomal RNA, 254 nt
Filed under: uncultured bacterium
Lineage: Bacteria
Description: partial 16S ribosomal RNA
Rfam family: Bacterial small subunit ribosomal RNA
Source: RNAcentral